GACGAACGCUGGCGGCGUGCCUAAUACAUGCAAGUAGAACGCACAGUUUAUACCGUAGCUUGCUACACCAUAGACUGUGAGUUGCGAACGGGUGAGUAACGCGUAGGUAACCUGCCUGGUAGCGGGGGAUAACUAUUGGAAACGAUAGCUAAUACCGCAUAAUAUUGAUUAUUGCAUGAUAAUUGAUUGAAAGAUGCUAUUGCAUCACUACCAGAUGGACCUGCGUUGUAUUAGCUAGUAGGUGAGGUAACGGCUCACCUAGGCGACGAUACAUAGCCGACCUGAGAGGGUGAUCGGCCACACUGGGACUGAGACACGGCCCUGACUCCUACGGGAGGCAGCAGUAGGGAAUCUUCGGCAAUAGACGAAAGUCUGACCGAGCAACGCCGCGUGAGUGAAGAAGGUUUUCGGAUCGUAAAGCUCUGUUGUAAGAGAAGAACGGGUGUGAGAGUGGAAAGUUCACACUGUGACGGUAUCUUACCAGAAGGGGACGGCUAACUACGUG
RNAcentral lists this ribosomal RNA (505 nucleotides) under uncultured bacterium. RNAcentral describes it as "partial 16S ribosomal RNA". It matches the Rfam family "Bacterial small subunit ribosomal RNA", at positions 28 to 507 of the family's 1533-position model. The record is from RNAcentral.